Molecule: long non-coding RNA, 851 nt
Filed under: Homo sapiens (human)
Lineage: Eukaryota; Metazoa; Chordata; Mammalia; Primates; Hominidae
Description: HSALNT0175673
Source: RNAcentral
AACAGCUGCAUGUAAUAGUCCAUGACAGAUUUACCGUUGAAGAAGGUGAACAAUGAAGAACAAAUGAAGUUGAUGGGAUGGCUAGAACAUUGUAAGAUGGUCAAAACAAAAAGAACACCGUUGAGGGCUCAGUGGAAGGAAAUUUCCUUGUCUCAGGUUUUUCUUUUGUCCAGCCACCUCUCUAAACUGUUUGACUUCUGCAGUUGUUUUUCAGGGGGAAGAGAAUACUGAGAUGGAUUUAAUGAAAUUACAUUUUCCAAGAAGCCUCUUGAACAGAAUGAAGUUCUUCAUUUGCCACUAAACUUUCCUCCUUGACUGAGCUCACUGAUGGUUUCUUUAAUAUGCAGAGAAAGGAUCUCCUUCUGCCAUGAACCUGAGGGGCAUUAGCUGAGUAGUUGUUGCAUCUGGGAGGAGCUGAAGAAGACGCUGGUGUCACAGGGUUGCUUUCAUACAUAUUUGGAAUAACCAGGACAGACUGGAAAGAAUGAAUAAAAACAAGCAAUAUGGUUACUACAAUCCUAUGCAAUUUCCCCUGGUACCAUCAGAGUGAAGGACAAAGAGCAUUCUGUAUCAUCAAAUGCUUGUUCCAGAGGAGUGUGAAUUUAUUUUGGAUUUUCUUUAAAAUGCCAGAAGUCUUUCCUUUUGGUAAGUAGGCUAUUUUGUUUAGAAAUAUUAGAAAGAAGGUAGUUUUUUUCCUUUGUGAUGGCCUCGUUGUUUUUUUUAAUACAAAUGUUACUACUCAUUAAAAAAGUCAAGCAAUACAGAAACCAACGGAUCAUUCCAAAUGCCAGUGUUUAGAAAUAACCAAAAUUAAUGUUUGAUGACUAUUAUCCUAGCUCUCUGUGUACAGG